Molecule: ribosomal RNA, 2274 nt
Filed under: Salmonella enterica subsp. enterica serovar Enteritidis
Lineage: Bacteria; Pseudomonadati; Pseudomonadota; Gammaproteobacteria; Enterobacterales; Enterobacteriaceae
Description: partial 23S ribosomal RNA
Rfam family: Bacterial large subunit ribosomal RNA
Source: RNAcentral
ACCUGAAACCGUGUACGUACAAGCAGUGGGAGCACAGGUUUACCUGUGUGACUGCGUACCUUUUGUAUAAUGGGUCAGCGACUUAUAUUCUGUAGCAAGGUUAACCGAAUAGGGGAGCCGGAGGGAAACCGAGUCUUAAUUGGGCGUUAAGUUGCAGGGUAUAGACCCGAAACCCGGUGAUCUAGCCAUGGGCAGGUUGAAGGUUGGGUAACACUAACUGGAGGACCGAACCGACUAAUGUUGAAAAAUUAGCGGAUGACCUGUGGCUGGGGGUGAAAGGCCAAUCAAACCGGGAGAUAGCUGGUUCUCCCCGAAAGCUAUUUAGGUAGCGCCUCGUGAAUUCAUCUCCGGGGGUAGAGCACUGUUUCGGCUAGGGGGCCAUCCCGGCUUACCAACCCGAUGCAAACUGCGAAUACCGGAGAAUGUUAUCACGGGAGACACACGGCGGGUGCUAACGUCCGUCGUGAAGAGGGAAACAACCCAGACCGCCAGCUAAGGUCCCAAAGUCAUGGUUAAGUGGGAAACGAUGUGGGAAGGCCCAGACAGCCAGGAUGUUGGCUUAGAAGCAGCCAUCAUUUAAAGAAAGCGUAAUAGCUCACUGGUCGAGUCGGCCUGCGCGGAAGAUGUAACGGGGCUAAACCAUGCACCGAAGCUGCGGCAGCGACGCUUAUGCGUUGUUGGGUAGGGGAGCGUUCUGUAAGCCUGCGAAGGUGGCCUGUGAGGGUUGCUGGAGGUAUCAGAAGUGCGAAUGCUGACAUAAGUAACGAUAAAGCGGGUGAAAAGCCCGCUCGCCGGAAGACCAAGGGUUCCUGUCCAACGUUAAUCGGGGCAGGGUGAGUCGACCCCUAAGGCGAGGCCGAAAGGCGUAGUCGAUGGGAAACGGGUUAAUAUUCCCGUACUUGGUGUUACUGCGAAGGGGGGACGGAGAAGGCUAUGUUGGCCGGGCGACGGUUGUCCCGGUUUAAGCGUGUAGGUGUGUGUUCCAGGUAAAUCCGGUUCACUUUAACACUGAGGCGUGACGACGAGGCACUACGGUGCUGAAGCAACAAAUGCCCUGCUUCCAGGAAAAGCCUCUAAGCAUCAGGUAACAUCAAAUCGUACCCCAAACCGACACAGGUGGUCAGGUAGAGAAUACCAAGGCGCUUGAGAGAACUCGGGUGAAGGAACUAGGCAAAAUGGUGCCGUAACUUCGGGAGAAGGCACGCUGACACGUAGGUGAAGUGAUUUACUCAUGGAGCUGAAGUCAGUCGAAGAUACCAGCUGGCUGCAACUGUUUAUUAAAAACACAGCACUGUGCAAACACGAAAGUGGACGUAUACGGUGUGACGCCUGCCCGGUGCCGGAAGGUUAAUUGAUGGGGUCAGCGCAAGCGAAGCUCCUGAUCGAAGCCCCGGUAAACGGCGGCCGUAACUAUAACGGUCCUAAGGUAGCGAAAUUCCUUGUCGGGUAAGUUCCGACCUGCACGAAUGGCGUAAUGAUGGCCAGGCUGUCUCCACCCGAGACUCAGUGAAAUUGAACUCGCUGUGAAGAUGCAGUGUACCCGCGGCAAGACGGAAAGACCCCGUGAACCUUUACUAUAGCUUGACACUGAACAUUGAGCCUUGAUGUGUAGGAUAGGUGGGAGGCUUUGAAGUGUGGACGCCAGUCUGCAUGGAGCCGACCUUGAAAUACCACCCUUUAAUGUUUGAUGUUCUAACGUGGACCCGUUACCCGGGUUGCGGACAGUGUCUGGUGGGUAGUUUGACUGGGGCGGUCUCCUCCUAAAGAGUAACGGAGGAGCACGAAGGUUGGCUAAUCCUGGUCGGACAUCAGGAGGUUAGUGCAAUGGCAUAAGCCAGCUUGACUGCGAGCGUGACGGCGCGAGCAGGUGCGAAAGCAGGUCAUAGUGAUCCGGUGGUUCUGAAUGGAAGGGCCAUCGCUCAACGGAUAAAAGGUACUCCGGGGAUAACAGGCUGAUACCGCCCAAGAGUUCAUAUCGACGGCGGUGUUUGGCACCUCGAUGUCGGCUCAUCACAUCCUGGGGCUGAAGUAGGUCCCAAGGGUAUGGCUGUUCGCCAUUUAAAGUGGUACGCGAGCUGGGUUUAGAACGUCGUGAGACAGUUCGGUCCCUAUCUGCCGUGGGCGCUGGAGAACUGAGGGGGGCUGCUCCUAGUACGAGAGGACCGGAGUGGACGCAUCACUGGUGUUCGGGUUGUCAUGCCAAUGGCACUGCCCGGUAGCUAAAUGCGGAAGAGAUAAGUGCUGAAAGCAUCUAAGCACGAAACUUGCCCCGAG